This 410-nucleotide ribosomal RNA is filed under the name uncultured microorganism. RNAcentral describes it as "bacterial SSU rRNA". It matches the Rfam family "Bacterial small subunit ribosomal RNA", at positions 509 to 917 of the family's 1533-position model. The record is from RNAcentral.
CAGCCGCCGCGGUAAUACGUAGGGUGCGAGCUUUAAUCGGAUUUACUGGGCGUAAAGCGUGCGCAGGCGGCCCGUUAAGACAGGUGUGAAAUCCCUGGGCUCAACCUAGGAAUUGCGCUUGUGACUGGCGGGCUCGAGUACGGUAGAGGGGGGUGGAAUUCCUGGUGUAGCAGUGAAAUGCGUAGAGAUCAGGAGGAACACCGAUGGCGAAGGCAGCCCCCUGGGCCUGUACUGACGCUCAUGCACGAAAGCGUGGGGAGCAAACAGGAUUAGAUACCCUGGUAGUCCACGCCCUAAACGAUGGGUACUAGCCGUUUGGUGCGCGAUAGCGCUGAGUGGCGAAGCUAACGCGUGAAGUACCCCGCCUGGGGAGUACGGCCGCAAGGUUGAAACUUAAAGGAAUUGGCGGG